CACGUAGUUAGCCGGAGCUUUCUCCUUGGCUACCGCCAUUAUCUUCACCAAGAACAGAGUUUUACAAUCCGAAGACCUUCGUCACUCACGCGGCGUUGCUGCAUCAGGGUUUCCCCCAUUGUGCAAUAUCCCCCACUGCUGCCUCCCGUAGGAGUCUGGGCCGUGUCUCAGUCCCAAUGUGGCCGUUCAACCUCUCAGUCCGGCUACCGAUCGUCGCCUUGGUGGGCCUUUACCCCGCCAACUAGCUAAUCGGACGCGAGUCCAUCUUUCAGCGGAUUGCUCCUUUGGUCAGUGCGCCAUGCGACACUCUGACUUUAUGCGGUAUUAGCAUCCUUUUCAGAAUGUUAUCCCCCUCUGAAAGGCAGGUUACUCACGCGUUACUCACCCGUCCGCCACUAGGCUCCAGGAGCAAGCUCCCUUCGCCCCGUUCGACUUGCAUGUGUUAGGCACGCCGCCAGCGUUCGUCCUGAGCCAGGAUCAAACUCU
RNAcentral lists this ribosomal RNA (486 nucleotides) under uncultured Oscillospiraceae bacterium. RNAcentral describes it as "partial 16S ribosomal RNA". The record is from RNAcentral. Lineage: Bacteria; Bacillati; Bacillota; Clostridia; Eubacteriales; Oscillospiraceae.